CUUCUGGGAACCGAGAACUGGAAAGAAAGAAAAAGAAAGAAAGAAAGAAAGAAAGAGAAAGAAAGAAAGAAAGAAAGAAAGAAAGAAAGAAAGAAAGAAAGAAAGAAGACAAUUCGUGGCCAUGGACCCAACUGGAGGAAUGAGCGAGGACGAAAGCAGCCAGAACAGACCAAGAUUUCUUUCUUUUUCUUUCUUUUUUCUUCCCCCUUUUUUUCUUCUUCUUUUGAUCCACCAGGUCUUUAAACUUGAUGUUCAAGGAGUUUGCCUAGCGGCCUCUCUUCAAUACAGAGGCUGUGUGACAUUCUGCUGCGGUGAUAAGACAAUGUGCAGCCACGACGACGGAUGGAGGGCCAUGGCGUGUUUCUCUCUGGCUUAAUUCCCUUGCCCUACUUCUUCCUCUCCCCACCUCAAACUCAUCCGAGCUGUGUGGUACCCUCAAGAGGACAAGCACAGAAGGAGGCAACGUGCACGAGAGAGAGAGAAAGAGAGAGAGAAGAGGCGGGGAGAGAAGAAGCAGGGAAGAAGGACCACUCCCUCCCUGGAAAGACCUUCACUCCUUCAGCUCACCCCAUGCGAUGCCAGGAAGCCAUUUUGAUGGAGUCACAUGCCGUUUUGUAAGAUGGCCGCAUUGACAUGAGAUUUGCAAAAAGGGGAAAUUCAAGAACUUGGAAGCGGUGAUGUCUCAGCCAGAUAUGCUACAGAUGAAAGCACAUUUCUCUUCCCCCCCCCUUUGGACUUCUGGUUGAUCUAACCCAUCUCUCUUCAAGAUGACUUGCACAGAAAAUGUUUUGAGACAGCAGGGCCUGCGUUUUCUGUUUUGCCUACUCUCUGACUGAGUAGAGGAUUUUUCAUCCUUCACCUUUUUCCAUGUCUGUCCACCUUUCUUCUUUUGAUCACCAAGAAAAAUGGAAGUUUUCCUAUAACUGUGUCUAAAGGAGGAAGAGGAGGAGGAGGAGGAGGAGGAGGAGGAGGAGG
Molecule: non-coding RNA, 975 nt
Organism: Pantherophis guttatus
Lineage: Eukaryota; Metazoa; Chordata; Lepidosauria; Squamata; Colubridae
Source: RefSeq, a predicted model, not a curated record